AAUGAACGCUGGCGGCGUGCCUAACACAUGCAAGUCGAACGAAAACACAAUGAGCUUUCUCCCCUGCCGUUAGCGGCGGACGGGCGAGUAACACGUGGAUAACCUACCUAUAAGACUGGGAUGAUAUCGGAGAAACACAUCUAAUACCAGCUAAUAUAUUGAACCGGAUGGAUCAAUAGUGCAAGACGGCUUUGCUGUCACUUAUAGACGGAUCCGCGCCGCAUUAGCUAGUUGGUAAGGUAACGGCUUACCAAGGCGACGAUGCGUAGCUGACCUGAGAGGGUGAUCAGCCACACUGGAACUGAGACACGGUCCAGACUCCUACGGGAGGCAGCAGUCGGGAAUAUUGCGCAAUGGGCGAAAGCCUGACGGAGCAACGCCGCGUGAGUGAUGAAGGUCUUCGGAUCGUAAAACUCUGUUGUUGGGAAAGAACAAAAGUGUAUGUAACUAUGCACGUCUUGACGGUACCUAAAGAAUAAGCACCGGCUAACUACGUG
RNAcentral lists this ribosomal RNA (497 nucleotides) under uncultured bacterium. RNAcentral describes it as "partial 16S ribosomal RNA". It matches the Rfam family "Bacterial small subunit ribosomal RNA", at positions 29 to 507 of the family's 1533-position model. The record is from RNAcentral.